AUUGAACGCUGGCGGCAGGCCUAACACAUGCAAGUCGAGCGGAUGAAGGGAGCUUGCUCCUGGAUUCAGCGGCGGACGGGUGAGUAAUGCCUAGGAAUCUGCCGGGUAGUGGGGGAUAACGUCCGGAAACGGGCGCUAAUACCGCAUACGUCCUGAGGGAGAAAGUGGGGGAUCUUCGGACCUCACGCUAUCAGAUGAGCCUAGGUCGGAUUAGCUAGUUGGUGGGGUAAAGGCCUACCAAGGCGACGAUCCGUAACUGGUCUGAGAGGAUGAUCAGUCACACUGGAACUGAGACACGGUCCAGACUCCUAAGGGAGGCAGCAGUGGGGAAUAUUGGACAAUGGGCGAAAGCCUGAUCCAGCCAUGCCGCGUGUGUGAAGAAGGUCUUCGGAUUGUAAAGCACUUUAAGUUGGGAGGAAGGGCAGUAAGUUAAUACCUUGCUGUUUUGACGUUACCAACAGAAGAAGCACCGGCUAACUUCGUG
This 484-nucleotide ribosomal RNA is filed under the name uncultured bacterium. Its description in RNAcentral is "partial 16S ribosomal RNA". It matches the Rfam family "Bacterial small subunit ribosomal RNA", at positions 30 to 507 of the family's 1533-position model. The record is from RNAcentral.